Molecule: ribosomal RNA, 480 nt
Filed under: Streptomyces sp.
Lineage: Bacteria; Bacillati; Actinomycetota; Actinomycetes; Kitasatosporales; Streptomycetaceae
Description: bacterial SSU rRNA
Rfam family: Bacterial small subunit ribosomal RNA
Source: RNAcentral
AACGGGUGAGUAACACGUGGGCAAUCUGCCCUGCACUCUGGGACAAGCCCUGGAAACGGGGUCUAAUACCGGAUACUGACCCGUUUGGGCAUCCAAGCGGUUCGAAAGCUCCGGCGGUGCAGGAUGAGCCCGCGGCCUAUCAGCUUGUUGGUGAGGUAAUGGCUCACCAAGGCGACGACGGGUAGCCGGCCUGAGAGGGCGACCGGCCACACUGGGACUGAGACACGGCCCAGACUCCUACGGGAGGCAGCAGUGGGGAAUAUUGCACAAUGGGCGAAAGCCUGAUGCAGCGACGCCGCGUGAGGGAUGACGGCCUUCGGGUUGUAAACCUCUUUCAGCAGGGAAGAAGCGAAAGUGACGGUACCUGCAGAAGAAGCGCCGGCUAACUACGUGCCAGCAGCCGCGGUAAUACGUAGGGCGCAAGCGUUGUCCGGAAUUAUUGGGCGUAAAGAGCUCGUAGGCGGCUUGUCACGUCGGUUG